UCCUGUCAUUGGCCAGGUUGGCUACUGGAAGGGCUCGGACCCAUUGCCCCAUUGUUGGUCUUGUAUUUUGCAGUGGUUGUGUGUGUUGGCACAGAAGUGGGGGAAAAUGGCCCGCUUUUUGCUGUAGAUCUUUCCAGGAGUGUUGAGAGGUGGGGCACGUUUGUCAGGACAGCAUGUCGGAAGACAACUGGGCAUUUUGGGGGGUCCCGGUCUUUGCUCUGAGGUGUUUCCCGCCCUUCUGUUCCUGUGCAGUGGAGGGGAAAAUCAAAUCCUCAGCCAAGUCUCUGGUCAAAAGUCACGAGAUGAGUGAAAUCUUGGGUCUUUAAAAAUAGCGUCUUGAAAUAAUACGUUCUGUGUUACUUGGUUUAGAGCCUGGAAUUUUCAUUUUUUUAUAUUCUCUAGCUUUUCUCCAAAACCCAGAGGGAAAUAACAAAAUUUUUUCUUAAUGAAAGCUGAGAUUAACAUCUAAUCAUCUUCCCCUUCAGAAGCUGAGGUUUUAGGAGCACUGAAUAUUACCGACUUAACGUUAAAAUGAUAAGUUUGGACAAUAGUGCUUGCUUUUAAGUGCAGCUUUGAAGAAGUCUGGCUGAGGGAAACCAUGGGCCCAAGACCAGUGGAGAAAUCUGUGAAGCGACAAAAUCUGUGAAAGGAAUAAAAGGGGAGAAGGAGAUGGGACCGUAUGGAGGCCUUGGGCAACUGAAGUAGAUCCUGUACCGUGGCCCUGUUUAGAGACCUCAGAAGAACAUCAGCUCUGGCACUACUUCGCAUACUUAACGUCUUACAAAGUUUCAAACAGCUACUAUAAUAAAGAACACAAGAUGCCACCAAUAACCCAGCAUAAAGAUACUUCUUCUGCAUCCUUGAGAGUGUUGUUCCAGAACUUUCCUGGCCUGAGAUGCAGGAGGGAGAAGCAGAGUCAUUGUCCACAGCAUUGAAGUCUGAUCAGUCAAGCUCUCAGGAGGACACUCCUGCAAGAAAGUGCUGCUCCUCCUGCUACUCCUUCUGUAGCCAACAGGUGAAGAAAAGGCAGAGUGGUUUUGUCUUCCCGCUUCUGAUAAGAACAAAAAUAUGUGCUGUAAUGCCGUUCUGACAUAAGAAUAUGUGCUGGUGAUCACUGGUAUGCUGAUAAUGAUGGAGCCAUGAGGUGUGAUCUGAUACAGCCUGCAACAGGAGGGAGCAGCCAGCAGGGCUUGUACAUCAGCAGAAUGGUUCAGGUAGGAAAAAAAUGAAACACCAUUAAAAUCAGAGGAAUUUAGCCUAGAAUAUUAUUUCAGUGUUUGGACAAAUGCAUUUAUGCAAAUUGUCUUAUUAGCAUAGCUAGCUCUGCAGGAUCUUCAGUGACUGAUGAAGGAUUUCUCAUAGGUUACUUGUUCAGAAGAUUCAUUAUUCCGUUUUCGUUCCUUUGAUGGAAUUCAGUUAGUCAGAAUUGAUAAAAAUUGGAGCCCACUCUCUCCCCAGCACAGACCUAAAUUAAAUUCCUUCUUAGCGGGAUUAAACAACAUUAAUAUGAAUUAUUUGUGUGA
Molecule: long non-coding RNA, 1523 nt
Filed under: Calidris pugnax (ruff)
Lineage: Eukaryota; Metazoa; Chordata; Aves; Charadriiformes; Scolopacidae
Description: lncRNA (ENSCPUG00000017907.1)
Source: RNAcentral